Small nuclear RNA from Phodopus roborovskii (desert hamster), 107 nucleotides. The record is from RefSeq and is a predicted model, not a curated record. Lineage: Eukaryota; Metazoa; Chordata; Mammalia; Rodentia; Cricetidae.
GUGAUCACUUCAACAGCACAGAUACUAAAAAUGGAAAGCUACAAAGAUUAGCAUGGCCCCUGUGCAAGGAUGCCACACAAAUUCAUGAAGAAGCAGUCCAUAUUUUU